Prunus avium (sweet cherry) is the source of this 1214-nucleotide long non-coding RNA. RefSeq lists it as uncharacterized. NCBI's taxonomy places the organism in Eukaryota, Viridiplantae, Streptophyta, Magnoliopsida, Rosales, Rosaceae. The record is from RefSeq and is a predicted model, not a curated record.
CUCAUCUCUGCUCAAUUUUGGGAAAAUCCUGGAUUUUUUAUACCUCUUGGUGUUUUAGUAUGGCCCGGGACUCUCUCUUAACCCCAAAUGAAAAUACCCUUCACUCAUGCUCCUUUUUACCCAUCCUUGUUCACGAAGUUCUGCCUGAGAGAUUCAAGCUAACUGAAGAUGAGAUCAUAAAAGUGGAAUCUUUGAUUUUACAGCUUGUCCAGAAUAAGGAUGACGAGGGUUGCAGAGCUGAACAGGGAGAGUCGAACUACUCUCUUGAUUCUGCUGAACUGAGAAAUGCAACCCUGUGAUGGCUUUGGUGCAGCAAGUAGUGAAUAUUAUUGAAGCUGUUUCUGGGGCACCUGGUGCAGAAGAUUGCAGUGACAAUUGCCUUUCUGCUACUCUAGCUUCUCAGUUGAAGAUCUGCUUUCUUUGUGCAAAUUUUGGCCUAAAUGAAACUGACAUAAUUUUUGUAGUUGAUCAUUUGGUUGUUGUUUGGUGGUCUUUGAGGAGGAGAAGAGUGUCACACUUGGGCAUGCAACUCAUGGCUUUAUAAAGUAUAUUUUUCUUUGUGCAAAUUUUGGCCUAAAUGAAACUGACAUAAUUUUUGUAGUUGAUCAUUUGGUUGUUGUUUGGUGGUCUUUGAGGAGGAGAAGAGUGUCACACUUUGGGCAUGCAACUCAUGGCUUUAUAAAGUAUAUUUCAUAUUCAUCUGCAAAAAUUUGCAAUCAUGGCUUGGCUGACUCUGAUUUUGAGCCUCUGAAGCAAAAAGCUGGCAGCUAUACUCUGAGGGCUACAUUGAAUGUCCUACAUAUUCUUCUCAUAUACGGAGCGGAGUUGAAAUAUAUACUUGAACCUGCUCUUUCAACAGUUCCUUUGUCACUAACCAUGGCAGGAAGUAACUCCCGACUUGUUUGCUCGGUUAAGUUCUCAUCCCGAGCAAGUGGUUCGGAAGCAGUUGGAGGGCUCACUAAUGAUGCUGGCCAAGCAAUCUCCUUGGUCCAUUGUCUACCCAACACUAGUUGAUGUGGAUGCUCAUGAAGAGAAGCCUUCAGAGGAGCUUCAGCACAUACAUGGUUGUUUGGUAAGGAAAUUUCUUUCAUUAUUUUUAUUAUUAAUUUUUUUUUCAGGAUGUUGUGCAUUUAGUGCAAUACAAUUAGACUCAAACAGAAUUGAUGGAAAGGACAAGUGGUGUAACGCGAGAUCUACUUGGUGGGAGGAUGUAG